This 2740-nucleotide ribosomal RNA is filed under the name Trichoderma longibrachiatum SMF2. RNAcentral describes it as "bacterial LSU rRNA". The stretch from base 265 to 2669 matches the Rfam family "Bacterial large subunit ribosomal RNA". The record is from RNAcentral. Lineage: Eukaryota; Fungi; Ascomycota; Sordariomycetes; Hypocreales; Hypocreaceae.
AUUAUAAUGAAUUAUUAUUAAUAGCAUAUAAAAUGUAGAUAAUACCGGAUUAGGGCCGGGAGGAUAGGCAUCUCGUUUGGGUCGGGAAUCAGUUAUGUUCGAAUCAUAAUAAUCCGAAUUUUAGAACUAUUAGAAAUAUAGUAGUUAACCACACGUAUCAAUUUAGAUACGGAGUUCAAUAUAUUUUGGUAAAAAGUAGGUAGAGUACCAAAAUAAGAGCUUAGGUUACAAAAAUAAAUGAUAUAUAACUAUUACUUAUAAAUAUAUAAGUAUAUAAAGAAACUAUUAUGGAAUUUAAGCUAUGUAUUAAAGAGAAUUAUUUAUAUAUAUAGGACAUUUAUCCUAUAAUUAUAUGAACUCUAAGAGAAAUUUUGUAAUAAACGAAGUGAAUUGAAAUAUCUUAGUAACUUUAGGAAAAUAAAUCAAAAGAGAUUCUAUGAAUAGCGUGAGCGAAAGUAGAAAAGCCUAACAAGUAAAACGGUUUAAAACUGUUUAAAUAUUAUGGGGAACCUUCCUCAAAGGCUAAAUAUGAUACAUAAGCGAUAGUGAAAAGUACCAUGAGGGAAAUAAAAUAAAAAUAGUAGUUUUAUAAGCAGUUCGAAAUAAAGAACGUACCUUUUGCAUAAUGGGUCACCAAGUUAACGUUAGAUGCGAGAUAAUACGUAGUUAAACCGAACGUUAAAAUAACGAUAUAGUGUCUAAAGUUAGACCCGAAGCCUGGUGAUUUUACCAUAGUCAGGAUUAUAAAAGUCCGAACCGGUGAUUGUAGCAAAAAUCUCGGAAGAACUGUGGUAGGUGUAGUGAAAGACAACACUGACUAGGAUAGCUGGUUUUCUGCGAAACCUAUAAUAGUAGGCAGUUUAAGUAAAUAUCUUAGCAGGUACAGAAUUUAAUCUCAGACAAGACAUUUUUAAUGUUUUAUUUUGUACAAAUUGGGGGAUCAUGAAGAUUUUAUCAGUGAGUAUGUAGACUCGGAAUGGCAAAGAUAUAUCUUAAACUAUCAGACAUAGAAUGAUAAGGUUGUAUGUCGAAAGGGAAACAGCCCAGAACAAGAGUUAAGGUUCCUAAAUUAUUUGUUAAGUGAAAAUAAGAAGGUUUUUAUUUAAGUCGACAAGGAGAUAGGCUUAGAAGCAGCCAUAAUUUUAUGACCUCGUAACAGAGCGCUUGUUAAAUUAUAAAAGCGUCGAAAAUAUAACGGAUCUAAACAAUAUACCGAAACCUUGUCCAUAAUAUAUUAUAAUAAAUAUGUUUAUUAUAAUUAAAUGGGGUAGCAGAACGUUGAGCUAAAAUAUGAGUUUUAUUUUUUAAAUAAAAUUAUAGUAAUUUAACUCAAGUGAGAAUGGUGACAUGAGUAACUAAAAGAAAAUUUUCCGCCUUAAGCUUAUGGAUGUAAUUAAGUAACGGCCUCUAAGUUUAUAUAAUCUAAAGAUUUAAACGAUGAGAAAAUCUUUAUUACUAAAAACAACAUUUUAGUGUAAAAUGUGCUGGAAAAAUAGUAAUAUAUUUGUUAUCAAAUAACAAAUAAAAUAACCGUACCUAGAAUCUGAAACAAGUAAGCUAGUAGAGAAUACGAAGGCGUAAAUGAGCUAACAAUCAUAAAGGAACUCGGCAAAUUGACUACCGUAACUUCGGAAUAAGGAGGGCUCAUUAUUCUUGAUGAAUAUCAAGUAAAGAGGAAGAAGCAUGAAAUAAUGUUGUACGACUGUUUAAUUAAAACACAGCACUUUGCUGAAAGAUUAAAAAUCUAAGUAUAAAGUGUGAUAUCUGCCCGGUGCCGGCUGGUUAACAGAUAUAAUUGAAUAUAUUAAUAUUUGAUGUAGACGGAAACCCCGGUUAAAGGCGGCCUUAACGUGAGGGUCCUAAGGUAGCGAAAUGCCUUGGCCGUUAAAUGCGGUCUUGCAUGAAUGGUGUAACGAUACAACAGCUGUCUCUAUGAUUGACUCAGUGAAAUUGGAAUAGCUGUGCAGAUACAGCUUACCUCUAGUUAGACGAGAAGACCCUAUGCAGCUUUACUGUCACUAAUUAUAGAGUAUGAUAAACGAUUUUCAGAAUAUAAGGUAAUUGACAAAUAUGACAAUGAGAAACCUUUAUUCUUUUUUCAUAUGAAUGAAUUGGUUUAGGAUUAUGAGUAAUUAAUUAAUUUUAUGGUUACAUAAAAUUAUAUAGCUCAUUUUAGUAGAUCAACCUAAUUCAACUUAUUUAUUUUUAAAAUAAGUAAGUACCCUUUGGUAAGGAACUAUCGCUAGGGGACAGUUUAUGUGGGGCACAGACCCUGUAAAGAGUAAACAGGAGUGUCUAAAAAUUUAUAAUUAUUUUGUUUGCUAUUUUGAGUAGUUUAACUAUUUUUAAUCAUAUAAAAUUAAAUAUAUUUGCAUUUUAUGUAUAUAUAUUUAAGAUUAGGUAAGAUUUUCACUAUAUAGAAAUUAGAGAUAAUUGAAAGUAUUAUGAAGGCGCAAGCUCUUCUAAUAUUUUCUAGCUAUUAUUUAUAAUAGUUAUGUGUUUAAUAUCUAAAAAGCUCAACGGCUAAAUCUUGCCUUACUGUUUGAUUAUCGACAAAUCUUACAGUUGCGUAAGCAGGGCAUAGGAUCACAAGAUGCCACAAGGAAAGAUCUUGGAUUAUUGGAAAAGCUACGCUAGGGAUGUUUGUCCUUUAAUAUUUUAUUUAUAAAUAAAAUUAUUAAUAUAAAUUGGGUAAAUUUCAAGAAUUACUAAUAAUAAUAGUAAACUUGAAGCGAAGUUU